Molecule: long non-coding RNA, 1014 nt
Filed under: Fragaria vesca (wild strawberry)
Lineage: Eukaryota; Viridiplantae; Streptophyta; Magnoliopsida; Rosales; Rosaceae
Description: long non-coding RNA (FVES_LNC005384)
Source: RNAcentral
CAAUCCAGCAAUGUGAUCCUGCUCCUUUCUAUCUUUUCGAUGAAAUAGAUGCAGCGCUGGAUCCUCAGUACAGAACUGCUGUUGGAAGUAUCCUUUAUGUCGUAGUCUGUGGAGUUCUAUAUCUCUUCUGAAGUUGAUUUAGUUUUCGCUUUCAUUUGACUAUAUGGUAUUGCACCCUAAAACCCUUCAUAUCCAGCCCAAUAGCCACCUCUGAUAAAUUUAUGUCCCUGAACUCUAGGUUUCUCCAUCAGUCAUAUGUAAGCAACCCACCAUUAUGUGUCACUAAUAGGAACUUCAAACCUCCUUUCAAAAUAUAAAAAUCUUUGUAUAUGGUUAAUGCCCAUGGGGGAGUUCAUUAUGUACUGGCAUAUCUUUCUAGUCCUAAGGACCGUAAGUAAAUGGAAAGUUACCUAGAACAGAUAUGACACACUCUUAAGUUUGAGUCUGGAUGUAGAUUGUCUUUUGCAAUGCAAAUACUAAUGGAGGCUAAAUGCUCCUGUAUGACAAAGCCUGCACAGAUGCACAUUCUUAUCACAGAUGAAAUGCAGAAGACAAAGAUAAGUUAGAAAAUAGCAUAUAUUGUGAAAGAAGACUUUGUUGAUAGGCAUUUAGCUCAGACAUCAAUCCAAAGAAGCAUAUAAGUAGGAUGAGUCACUUUUUUCUUUGUGAAGAGGACAUGCUGACCAAUACAGCUUUGGACAGCUUUCUGAUCAACUUCUGUGGGUAUUGGUUCAUUUGCAGAGUGACUUUUUUUUCUUUUUUCUUUCUAAUUUCAGUGUUCUAAGCUUGUAAUGGGCACUUUGUCUGCAUUUCUUUUUAGACAUGCCUAUGUUGGAAGUUUUACAGCCAUGGAAGUUCCUUAAUUAGCUGUUGUAGAUAUGAUCCGACGACUGGCAGAUACAGAAACUACUCAAUUUAUAACCACAACAUUCCGACAAGAGCUUGUGAAAGUUUCUGACAAAAUCUAUGGUGUUACACAUUCAAACAGGGUGAGCCGUGUCAACGUUAUCUCGA